AUUGAACGCUGGCGGAAUGCUUUACACAUGCAAGUCGAGCGGCAGCGCGGGGCAACCUGGCGGCGAGCGGCGAACGGGUGAGUAAUGCAUCGGAACAUGUCCAUGUCGUGGGGGAUAGCCCGGCGAAAGCCGGAUUAAUACCGCAUAAGCCCGAGAGGGGAAAGUGGGGACCGCAAGGCCUCACGCGAUUGGGUUGGCCGAUGUCCGAUUAGCUAGUUGGCGGGGUAAGAGCCCACCAAGGCGAUGAUCGGUAGCUGGUCUGAGAGGAUGAUCAGCCACACUGGGACUGAGACACGGCCCAGACUCCUACGGGAGGCAGCAGUGGGGAAUUUUGGACGAUGGGGGCAACCCUGAUCCAGCCAUUCCGCGUGAGUGAAGAAGG
RNAcentral lists this ribosomal RNA (382 nucleotides) under uncultured bacterium. Its description in RNAcentral is "bacterial SSU rRNA". It matches the Rfam family "Bacterial small subunit ribosomal RNA", at positions 29 to 414 of the family's 1533-position model. The record is from RNAcentral.